GAUAGUGGCGACGGGUGAGUAACACGUGGGCAAUCUGCCCUGCACUCUGGGACAAGCCCUGGAAACGGGGUCUAAUACCGGAUAUGACCAUCUUGGGCAUCCUUGAUGGUGUAAAGCUCCGGCGGUGCAGGAUGAGCCCGCGGCCUAUCAGCUUGUUGGUGAGGUAAUGGCUCACCAAGGCGACGACGGGUAGCCGGCCUGAGAGGGCGACCGGCCACACUGGGACUGAGACACGGCCCAGACUCCUACGGGAGGCAGCAGUGGGGAAUAUUGCACAAUGGGCGAAAGCCUGAUGCAGCGACGCCGCGUGAGGGAUGACGGCCUUCGGGUUGUAAACCUCUUUCAGCAGGGAAGAAGCGAAAGUGACGGUACCUGCAGAAGAAGCGCCGGCUAACUACGUGCCAGCAGCCGCGGUAAUACGUAGGGCGCGAGCGUUGUCCGGAAUUAUUGGGCGUAAAGAGCUCGUAGGCGGCUUGUCACGUCGGUUGUGAAAGCCCGGGGCUUAACCCCGGGUCUGCAGUCGAUACGGGCAGGCUAGAGUUCGGUAGGGGAGAUCGGAAUUCCUGGUGUAGCGGUGAAAUGCGCAGAUAUCAGGAGGAACACCGGUGGCGAAGGCGGAUCUCUGGGCCGAUACUGACGCUGAGGAGCGAAAGCGUGGGGAGCGAACAGGAUUAGAUACCCUGGUAGUCCACGCCGUAAACGGUGGGCACUAGGUGUGGGCAACAUUCCACGUUGUCCGUGCCGCAGCUAACGCAUUAAGUGCCCCGCCUGGGGAGUACGGCCGCAAGGCUAAACUCAAAGGAAUUGACGGGGGCC
This 816-nucleotide ribosomal RNA is filed under the name Streptomyces sp. Its description in RNAcentral is "bacterial SSU rRNA". It matches the Rfam family "Bacterial small subunit ribosomal RNA", at positions 91 to 921 of the family's 1533-position model. The record is from RNAcentral. Lineage: Bacteria; Bacillati; Actinomycetota; Actinomycetes; Kitasatosporales; Streptomycetaceae.